RNAcentral lists this ribosomal RNA (468 nucleotides) under uncultured bacterium. RNAcentral describes it as "partial 16S ribosomal RNA". It matches the Rfam family "Bacterial small subunit ribosomal RNA", at positions 28 to 507 of the family's 1533-position model. The record is from RNAcentral.
GACGAACGCUGGCGGCGUGCUUAACACAUGCAAGUCGAACGGAAAGGCCCUGCUUUCGUUGGGUACUCGAGUGGCUAACGGGUGAGUAACACGUGAGUAACCUGCCCUUGCUUUUGGGAAAAUUUCAGGAAACUGGGGCUAAUACCGGUUAUGAGCUCCUGCUGCAUGGGGGGGGUUGGAAAGUUUCGGCGGUUGGUGAAGGACUUGCGGGUUAUCAGCUUGUUGGUCGGGUAGUGGUUUAGCAAGUCUUCUACCGGUAGCCGGCCUGAGCGGGUGACCGGCGACACGGCACCAACGAUAAGGCCAAGACGCCGAGGGGAGUAAGGCAUGAGGAGUAGUGCGCAAAGGGAGGAAGGCUGAUGCAGCAAUGCCGGGUGCGGGAUGACGGCCUUCGGGUUGUAAACAGGUAGCGCCUGGGAUGAAGGGGGGGUGACGGUAAUGGGUAAAGAAGCACCGGCUAACUACGUG